This 451-nucleotide ribosomal RNA is filed under the name uncultured bacterium. Its description in RNAcentral is "bacterial SSU rRNA". It matches the Rfam family "Bacterial small subunit ribosomal RNA", at positions 354 to 796 of the family's 1533-position model. The record is from RNAcentral.
GCCGAGGAUCAUUGGCAAUGCGCGAAAGCGUGACCAUGCGACGCCGCGUGGAGGAUGAAGGCCUUCGGGUUGUAAACUCCUGUCAGGGGCUACGAAAGGUGCCGUCACUAAUAAGGGCGGUACUUGACUUCAACCCCAGAGGAAGCUCCGGCUAACUUCGUGCCAGCAGCCGCGGUAAGACGAAGGGAGCAAGCGUUGUUCGGAAUUAUUGGGCGUAAAGGGUGCGCAGGCGGGCGGCUAUGUCGGAUGUGAAAGCCCACGGCCCAACCGUGGAACUGCAUUCGAAACUAUCCGUCUUGAGUGGAGGAGAGGAGAGUGGAACUCCAGGUGGAGCGGUGAAAUGCGUUGAUAUCUGGAGGAACGCCGGUGGCGAAAGCGGCUCUCUGGCCUUCAACUGACGCUGAGGCACGAAAGCUAGGGGAGCAAACGGGAUUAGAAACCCGGGUAGUCC